AGAACCUGGGUCAACUCUCUGCACUCCCAUGACUGUUCACAACGGGGGAUAUGAUGGCCUUUUCUGACCUCCUAACAAACCUGCACACGUACAGAAUGAGAGACUGGAGAGACAGCUCAAUGUUUAAGAACACUUGCUGCUUUGCAAAGGACCUUGGUUCGACUUCCAGUAUCCACACAGCUCCGGCUCCAAGAGAUGUGAUGCUCUUCUGACCUCUGUGGACACCAGACAUUCACAUGGUGCACAUAUUCAAAAUAAAACUAUAAAAAAAUAUUUAGCUAAGUAAAAUUUAAAGAUUGGGGAAAAAAGUAAAUCUAGGCAAAAAGUUAUUACCCCACAAAGACUGCUCAAUGUUUCUUAAGCCUCUUCAGGGGAAUGGAAGGAACUAAGAUUUGCCGGAGUGAUGUGAAACAGGCAUUUGAAUAAACGGACAUAAGUGAACAUGCAGAGCCUUGGUUCCCAAGCCCACCACACCACUCUGUCCUGAGCAGUAUUCACUUAGUCCAUGUGUGCUCAGUCUGUGCUGCGUGUGUCUAGACAGUAUCUGCAUAUCCACACAAGGCACAGCACAUAAUGAUGCAAUUAGGUUAAGCAUUUCUCACUUUGACCAGAAACAUGGCUGUACUGGUUAGUUUUGUGUCAACUUGACACAGCUGGAGUUAUCACAGAGAAAGGACCUUCAGUUGAAGAAAUGCCUCCAUGAGAUCCAACUGUAAGGCAUUUUCUCAAUUAGUGAUCAAGGGGGAAAGGCCCCUUGUGGGUGGGACCAUCUCUGGACUGGCAGUCUUGGUUCUAUAAGAGAGCAGGCUGAGCAAGCCAGAAGAAGCAAGCUAGUAAGGAACAUCCCUCCAUGGCCUCUGCAUCAGCCCCUGCUUCCUGACCUGCUUGAGUUCCAGACCUGACUUCCUUUGGUGAUGAACAGCAGCAUGGAAGUGUAAGCCGAAUAAACCCUUUCCUCCCCAACUUGCUUCUUGGUCAUGAUGUUUGUGCAGGAAUAGAGACCCUGACUAAGACAAAUUGGUACCAGCAGAGUGGGGUAUUCCUGUGACAACCUGACCAUGUUUUGGGGAGGACUGUGGAAGGACUUUGGAACUUUGGGCUUGAAGAUCCAUCCGUUGUUAAGAGCUCUGUCGGAUGUUGUGUAGGAGCUUGGAAGAUAAUGUUGAGAACACUGCAGAAGAUGGAGGUCUGGUUUGUGAAAUUUCAGAGGGAAAAAUUAAAGACUCUUUUCAGGGCCAUUGCUGUUUUGAUUGUGAAGAUUCUGUAGUUCUGGUUAGCUGGGGCUGAAGAAUCAGUUGUGAUUAACAAGAUACCAGAACUACUGAGGCAAAAACUUUGCAUUACUGGGACUAUUGAUGCUGGUUGCCUGGAGCUAAGAAAUUAGCAGUGAUUAAAAAGAGACCAUCAUCAUUGAGGUGACAUCUUCUGGGAAGUGUUUUCUGAAAGCACAAAGAGGCUGUGUUCCAGAGAUGGCCAAGGUUGUACUCCUGCUGCAGCAGGACUUGGUAAUAUGUAAGGGUCACCCAGGUGGUACUGGUUUUGAAGGCAUGAAGGGGUCACGCAAAGCAGCUGAGGCUCGGCACUGUGAGAGGCCAUGGAAGGCCAUUGGUGAAGGUGUAG
This 1620-nucleotide long non-coding RNA is filed under the name Mus musculus (house mouse). RNAcentral describes it as "predicted gene 16211". The record is from RNAcentral. Lineage: Eukaryota; Metazoa; Chordata; Mammalia; Rodentia; Muridae.